This 125-nucleotide small RNA is filed under the name Marmota monax (woodchuck). The record is from RNAcentral. Lineage: Eukaryota; Metazoa; Chordata; Mammalia; Rodentia; Sciuridae.
GCCCGGCAUGGUGGCUCACGCCUGUAAUCCCAGCGGCUAAGGAGGCUGAGGCAGGAGGAUCGUGACUUCAAAGCCAGCCUCAGCAACAGCAAGUUGCUAAGCAACUCAGUGAGACCCUGUCUCUA